This is an RNA transcript of Zea mays, 3399 nucleotides long. RefSeq lists it as uncharacterized. The record is from RefSeq and is marked validated. NCBI's taxonomy places the organism in Eukaryota, Viridiplantae, Streptophyta, Magnoliopsida, Poales, Poaceae. The transcript is spliced from 6 exons.
GAGGGACCCCCAGGCCCCAGCCCGCGUCCAUCCACCGCCCGUGGGAAGGCAGAGCAGUGAGCGUCGCAGGCAUCGGCUCCAGCUCCGGCUCCGCCCGCCGCCGCACCGGCCCACCCUCCUCCCCCGAUCCGAUCGCCGAUCACCGGCCCUCGCUUAGCCUCGCCACGCCUCGCGACAAUAUUUGGAACCCCUGUUACCGAUCGCCUCAUGCCGUACCACUGAACGAUCCCACCCCAACACCGUACCCCCGCCGCCUCCUCCGCCGUGCCCACAGUCGCCUCCGCCUUUCGCCUGCUACCCCGUAGAGGCUCUAUAUCCCGAUCGGACUAGGGUGCGGACGAUGGCUAGCAACGCCGACCAGCAUGCUGCCGUUGUCUCGGCUGCCCCGUCCGAUAGCCCGGUUGGGGCGAAGAAGGCUGGGGCGGCGGCCGCCGUCUGGAAACUCCCCGCGGCCGCGGCGGUUCCCGUCGCGGAGGUGGUUGAAAACCCCAUCAUGGACGCACACUCCUGGCCGGCGCUGCCCGGGCUGUCGUCUCCGCCGCCGCCGCCGCCGCCGCAUGCGGGGCCAACAGCCAAAGCGUCACCGAAGGCCGCUUCUCCAGCUCCCACUGGGGCGGCGACGUCGCCCGUCUCUUUGGGCAAUCCUGGCGCGCCGGAUGCUAGCCAUGGUAACGAUGCUCGGGUGCGCAAUCCUGUGGCCCGGCGUGCCCUGGUGAUGCCUGCGGCGGAUGGGCUGGAGAAGAGUGCCCCUGCACCGGAACCGUCCCCUGUUUAUGUGCCUAAUGCCCGGAGCAAUGGUGCAGAUCCUCAUCAGAAUGGACGUCCUGGCUCGCAUCACCAUGGCCGAGGUGGUGGCUAUGGUGGGGGAAACAGGAGGGGUAAUGGUGGAGGUGGGGGGCGUCGCGGGAGUGAGCACCACGGUGGUUUUGAUGGGCAACGGCGCGGAGGUGGCCGCAGAGAUGGCCAUGGACCGGUUCAUCAGCUGCGUGGCCAUCAGCCAACAUACAUUAAGGCUCCUGUUGUAGCAGGAGCACCUCCACCGCCUCCACCAUUUGUUAGCCCCGCUACUCCUCAGACACCACCUUAUGGACCACCUAUGGGCUUCCAUGCAGACAUGUCAGCGCAUGUUUACUAUUUCCCGGCACCCACCUCGGAAGGCAUUCAAGGCCUGCCUUUUGUGCCUCUUCCAGCAAGCCCCCAAGCUGUUCUAAUUGACCCUUCUCGAAAGAACCUUCUGGAGCAGAUAGAAUACUAUUUCAGCGAUGACAAUUUGUGCAAGGACCUUUACUUGCGGCAACACAUGGAUGGGCAAGGUUGGGUGCCAUUAUCCCUGAUCGCUGGCUUUCGCCAAGUCCAGAAAAUUACUAAUAAUAUUCAGUUUAUCUUGGAAACAGUCAUGCUAUCUAACAUUGUGGAAGUGCAGGUAAUGUUUUCUUUGUACAAUUAUUGUUAUAUGAUUUCUAAUAUGAUUCCGUUUGGCCAAAAAACAUAUAGGUUAUUCACUAACCAUAUAUGUUUCCAUUAACAUUGCAUAUUAUUUGUAGAAAAAUCAUGGUUCAGACCAUUCUCAUUAUCAUCUGUUAGUGUGAGUUCACCAAUUAUUUAUUAUUGAUUCAGGUAAGCGUAGUUUGUUAAGCAGAUAUGCUUACUGGUUAGACAAUGGCAUAGAUAUUAGGCGAUGUUUGAUUCAACAAAUGGCAAUGACAAUGCAAAGGGAAUGAAUACCAGUGGUAGUGGGAAGGGAAGCUUUGAUUGUUUGUUUUGUUUGAUUGAGUAUCGGAUGCCUAAAUCAUUCCAUUGAUCUGUUACACCUCAAAAUUGAGCGCAACCUGGUUUCUGAAGCAUGUGGACACAUUGCCCUGGCACCAAGAUACGUCGGGCAUUAAACAAACACAAGUGGUUGACAGUGGAAUCUGAUCACGCCAAUAAAUGGCCGAACCAAACAGCACCUUAGCUUCUUGUUAUAGACCUAGAGCUCAUUUUUAUCUGAUAUGAUACCUAUAAACCAACAGAGUCUAUAUCAUUUUAUUGCUUGUGAAAACAUACUCUUUUCCUAGUAUGACCAUGGAAAAUUUAGUACGAAACUGAUUCAACAAGGAUCUACUGAGCUUACAGGUUUUUGUUGUUCCUUGAGUGUAUAUAUUCUUUCAGUUUUAGGUAGGCAGCAGGUGUGACCGCCCCACAAAAUCAUCUUUGUGGCUCAUGUGGACUAGCUGCAAUAUUUUUGCGGGUCCGACCACCAAGCCCAGUGGAGUCCACCUCGGUCCUCCAGAUAACUCUAUCCAUCUGUGCGUGAGCCACAAAGAAAUCCGUUUUGCCAUCUCCAUGACGAACUGCAGGCAGUGGCAUGCCGAUCCUGAUGCCAGGCUUCACAUCUGUGGCACCCGCAACUUGUGAUCUCCUUUCUCGAAAGUGAUACCCCAGAUCAUGACAUUCAGGCAGGCAAUCUACUUGAUCAUGACAUUUAGGCAGGCAAUCUACUACUACACGGUGUUCUGGAACUUGGAAAUACGAUCUAUUUGUUCUAAUCCUCAUCUUACCUGUGAAGCAAAUGAUUCAAUUUAUAAAUUUAUUGUUGUGGUCUGCCCUAUAUUUCUUGUUGGUUUUGAUGAAUCUGAUUUGCCGAAGGGUACAAGUUUGUGCGGACAGCACUCUGUUUCUGCUUGCCAUGCUAGUUAUAGGGAGACAAGCUACGGAGGCGUGGAGCAUGGGAGAAUUGGUUGCUUCCAAAACUGAACUAUUCUGCUGGGAGUUCUUCUGGUUCGAUGACCCCUGUGACAUCUAACAUUGAUGCUCUUGCAUCUCAGUUUCGUUCUGUUGGACUUGAGGGGGCAACGUACCAUCCAAGCAUGCCUGGGAUGUCUGGUGAAGCUCUCCUGACAAGAUCAGCAACUUCAGUUAGUCUAGGUUACCAUGCAUCAACCUUCGGUGGGCUACAGAGCAAUGGGAGUGAACCUCUCUUUGGGCCGAAGUCUGCAAGAAAUCUACUCAGGAGCGAUACCUUUUGAGGCUAUAUAUUCAAGAGAAGUUAAGUACAAUGGCAGGCCGAGUUUUCACAGUAACGGCAUGCACACCUUAUCUCAGGUGAGAUGUAAAAACAGCUGUUAAAUAAAACCAAAAAAGGCAAAAGCAUAAUACAAAAAAAAAGCAUACACAAAGACAAAAAAAUACAAAAUGCAAAAACAAAAAUAAAAAGAGCAUAGGCAGCUUUUGUGCUAGUACUCCUGUCCUUUGUGUUAUGUGGUAUAUUACCUAGUAGGUUUGUUUUCUAAUGCUAGGAGUUUGAUGGCUCUUCUGUGUGAACCGAGUUAUUUAAGUGUUAUGGAUGGUACCAUUGGGAAACUGUUGAGUGGACGACGUUAUAUAAAAGUACAUGAAAACAUUGUUAAUUAUGCUGCU